GAACCUAAGGGCAGCUUAGCCCUAACUGCUGACCCAUUGGGUGGAGAUGGAGAUUUGGCUACUCUGCUUGGCUUUGGUGGGGAUUCCCUUCAUUCCUGACUUAUUUUAGGCCCAUUCUUUCUUAACAAGAGCUUAAAAAGAGAAAUAACCUCCAUAGGAGAAGAGACCUGUUUGGGGGUCAAGGAUAUUUAGGUAUCUUGAAUCUCUGUUACAAAUUUUUAAUCAGAUUCUCAAGGUUUAUUUGUAAGAGACAAUAGACUGCCAAGUGCCCAAGACUGAAUCUUAAUUUUUAUUAUUCCAUGUCUUA
Molecule: small RNA, 307 nt
Filed under: Microcebus murinus (gray mouse lemur)
Lineage: Eukaryota; Metazoa; Chordata; Mammalia; Primates; Cheirogaleidae
Description: 7SK RNA (ENSMICG00000025788.3)
Rfam family: 7SK RNA (bases 45-307)
About the family: 7SK was discovered as an abundant small nuclear RNA in the mid-70s but a possible function has only recently been suggested. Two independent studies have found that 7SK RNA binds the CDK9/cyclin T complex (known as elongation factor P-TEFb). P-TEFb activates transcription by phosphorylating the C-terminal domain of RNA polymerase II.
Source: RNAcentral